UUUAUUUUAGGUAGAGCUAAUGCCAACUUUGUUCAAAGAUGUAGUUGUAGCGUCAGCGUUUCUUCAGUAAUACGUGAGUAGUAGGACUUGCAGUUUUGCCGGAAAUCGAGAUAAGCCGUUUUUUAAGAAAACUAAAUACAUUAAAUUUACCGUACCAAAUGUCAAAAAUGUAAAUGCAAAUGUUUUGUUAAACGGAGAGGUGAUAGAACCGGUGGAAUCUGCUAUAUUUCUUGGCAUAACUCUAGAUUCCAAAUUACAAUGGGGCCCCCAUUUUGAAGGAUUGGCGAACAGACUUAGUUCUGCAGCAUACGCGGUUAACAAGAUUAGACAAUUAACUGACAUACGGCGCGACUAGUAUACUUUAGUUAUUUCCAUAGUAUUAUGUCCUAUGGUAUAUUGCUAUGGGGCACGCUGCUGAUAUUAAUACAAUAUUUGUGCUGCAGAAGAGGGCUAUUCGCGCUAUUUAUAACCUAGGUCCUAAAGAAUCAUUGAGAGCAAAGUUUAAAGAAAUUAACAUCUUGACUGUUGCUUCUCAAUAUAUUCUUGACAAAGUAAUGUAUGUUCAUAGGCACAUAAGUGAAUUUGCCAGAAACUGUCAUAAGCAUAAUGUUAACACCAGGAACAGACAUAAACUUAUGAUGCCUACUACUCGGCUAAGUCGAGUUAGUAAGUCUUUUGUGGGGCGAUGUAUAUGCUUUUACAACAAGAUCCCAGAAAAUGUUCAAAACAAAAGUAUAACGUUAUUCAAAAGAAUUGUGAAAAAUCGUUUGUGUGGUAAAGGUUACUAUAACAUAAAUGGCUUUCUUAAUGAUACCACAGAUUGGGAAUGGAGUGACAAUAAUAAGUUUAAUUGUACAAUAUUACUUUGUAAACAUAUUUAUUCGAUGAAAAAAAAAGCCCGCUGAGUUUGUUGCGCCCAUUCUUCUCAGGUCUGAGGCAUUCAUUUUGGAAUGGGUGGUAGUUUUUGACUUUCAAUAAGUGAUGUCACAUCCUAUUUUGAAUAAAAAUAUUUGAAUUUGAA
This is a long non-coding RNA of Leptidea sinapis, 1021 nucleotides long. RefSeq lists it as uncharacterized. Lineage: Eukaryota; Metazoa; Arthropoda; Insecta; Lepidoptera; Pieridae. The record is from RefSeq and is a predicted model, not a curated record. The transcript has 2 exons.